GCGCCCGUAGCUCAGCUGGAUAGAGCACCGGACUUCUAAUCCGACGGUCGCAGGUUCGAAUCCUGCCGGGCGCGCCA
Molecule: transfer RNA, 77 nt
Filed under: Nitriliruptor sp.
Lineage: Bacteria; Bacillati; Actinomycetota; Nitriliruptoria; Nitriliruptorales; Nitriliruptoraceae
Also listed under: 1 other name
Description: tRNA-Arg
Rfam family: tRNA
About the family: Transfer RNA (tRNA) molecules are approximately 80 nucleotides in length.
Source: RNAcentral